GUACUACUCCCUCCGUUCGAAAGUAAUUGUCCUAAAAAUGAAUAUAUCUAAACUUAUUUUAGUUAUAGAUACAUUCAUUAUAUUUAUUUUUAGGACAAGUAUUUUCGAAAGGAGGGAGUAUUAC
Molecule: non-coding RNA, 124 nt
Organism: Hordeum vulgare subsp. vulgare (domesticated barley)
Lineage: Eukaryota; Viridiplantae; Streptophyta; Magnoliopsida; Poales; Poaceae
Source: Rfam